Molecule: ribosomal RNA, 253 nt
Filed under: uncultured bacterium
Lineage: Bacteria
Description: partial 16S ribosomal RNA
Rfam family: Bacterial small subunit ribosomal RNA
Source: RNAcentral
UACGUAGGGGGCAAGCGUUAUCCGGAUUUACUGGGUGUAAAGGGAGCGCAGGCGGUGUGGCAAGUCUGAUGUGAAAGCCCGGGGCUCAACCCCGGGACUGCAUUGGAAACUGUCACACUAGAGUGCCGGAGAGGUAAGUGGAAUUCCUAGUGUAGCGGUGAAAUGCGUAGAUAUUAGGAGGAACACCAGUGGCGAAGGCGGCUUACUGGACGGUAACUGACGCUGAGGCUCGAAAGCGUGGGGAGCAAACAGG